This 493-nucleotide ribosomal RNA is filed under the name uncultured bacterium. RNAcentral's name for it is "partial 16S ribosomal RNA". It matches the Rfam family "Bacterial small subunit ribosomal RNA", at positions 30 to 507 of the family's 1533-position model. The record is from RNAcentral.
UUGAACGCUGGCGGCAUGCUUUACACAUGCAAGUCGCACGGCAGCGGGGAGGAGCUUGCUUCUCUGCCGGCGAGUGGCGAACGGGUGAGUAAUACAUCGGAACGUGUCGAGAAGAGGGGGAUAACCACCCGAAAGGGUGGCUAAUACCGCAUAAAUUCUGAGGAAGAAAGCUGGGGACCUAGGAAUAGGCCUAGCGCUUUUUGAGCGGCCGAUGUCGGAUUAGCUAGUUGGUGAGGUAAAGGCUCACCAAGGCGAAGAUCUGUAGCGGGUCUGAGAGGAUGAUCCGCCACACUGGGACUGAGACACGGCCCAGACUCCUACGGGAGGCAGCAGUGGGGAAUUUUGGACAAUGGGGGCAACCCUGAUCCAGCCAUGCCGCGUGUAUGAAGAAGGCCUUAGGGUUGUAAAGUACUUUUGUUAGGGAAGAAAAGUCAGCUGUGAAUAAUGGCUGAUACUGACGGUACCUAAAGAAUAAGCACCGGCUAACUACGUG